AGCCAAGGAGCAGGGUGAGGGGGUCAGUGGAUGGGAAAUUACUAACAAGGUAGGGUAAUUCUUUGCUAAACUGACCUAACAGGAUUCUUGCUGAAGGCAGGUCAGGGAGAUCAGACAUUACCUCACCGGAAGAGGAAUUCCAUCAGAUAUCAAGGGGGAUCAGAUGUUGAAGGCGGGGGAUUCUGGCUGAACUGACUUGAGAGGAUUCUUGCUAAAAUUGGGCCAUGCAAAUACGGAAAUGGAAGUCCAAAAGUGGAGGCCUAGGGGGCCAGACCCAGGGCCAAGUGGUUAAGUUUGCAUGCUCUGCUUCCGUAGCCUAGGGUUCACUGGUUCGGAUUCUGGGUGCAGACCUACACACCGCUCAUCAGGCUAUGCUGUGGUGGCAUCCCACAUAGAGAGACUAGAAUGACUUGCAAAUAGGAUACACAACUAUGUACUGGGGCUUUGGGGAGAAAAAAAAAUCGGAGGCCUAGUUGGGAAGGGGAUUUAGAGGAGACUGACUAUCAGGGACACUUUUUGUCAAGGGUUUUGUAAUCUUGGGUAGAGAAGGUUCUGGCAUUAGAAAGGCCUUGAUUAUGCGGACAUGAGGGAGGACCAAAUGAUGCAUUUGCUAGCAAGAUGUUGAGUUAAGGCUGGACCCAGAGCAGAGGUCACUUCUCUAAUCUCCUCCAGCGACAUCCGAACCCCCUCUAGACUGCAGGUGAUUCUGGUGAUGAUGGGGAUGGGGGCGAGGAGGAGAAAAGGGGUGAAACUGAAGAAAAUUGUGUGGCCAGGGGAAAGCUGCUUAGUAUCUCUAAGUCUGUAUUUUGACCUAUAAAAUGGGGGAUAUAAUAAUACCAAACUAUAGAUUUUCUGGGAGUAUUAAACAAGAUAAAGUGUUGAAGCCGUUUAGCAUGACAAUAGGCACAUUGUAAAUGCUCAAUGAAAUGUUGCCUCAUCAUCACCAUCAUCAUCAUCAUCAUCACCAUCAUCACCAUCAUCAUCAUCAUCACCAACAUCACCAUCAUCAUCAUCACCAUCAUCACCAUCAUCAUCAUCAUCAUUAAAAGUCGCCACAGAAACAGUGUUUGUGACUUCUAUAAUCCUCAAUUACAAUGUGUCCCUUUGACCUUGGCCAGAGAAGAACAGUGACAUCACCCAUGUUCUUUGAGCCAGAUGGGCCUCUUUUUUCUGGAAACUACUCCAGAACCUUCAGGGACCAGGACCAUGAAAACAAGUUCUGGGGACUAACAGGACUUAGAGGCGUGACCACCCCGCAGAGGAGGUCUAGGUCUGCUGAAAAACCCGGGGUGAAAAAAGAGGGGGUGUUGGAUCAACCGUUCUGGCUUGCUGAAGGCUUGGAGGCAGAGGAAUUUUUCUCAAGAAAAAUAAUAAUUUUCUUCCAAAAGCAUGGUGAAAUGUAAUGGAUUCAAGCCAGAACCCAGAGUUUUAUAAAAUCACAAAAAGAAGAAAGACUUUCCUACAGCUGAAAAUUUAAAUAACCAUAGCACCAAGCACUCUAUUGCCUUGGAUUCUGAUGAAAUUAGAGUAAGGUGGGUCAAGCAUGGAGGUAGUUUAACGGGGAACUCAAGAUCACCCCCUCUCAUCCCAUUCCAGUGAAGUAAAGGGAGGUUUCAACCUAACCAAACGGCACAUUGGGCUAAUGUCCAAUCUUAGCUGGAUGAUGUUCCGAAACAAUUUCCUCUGGGCCUAUCCUUGUUCACCCCUUAGCUUUUGCAUUCUACAGGACCUUAAAAGAAUGUUUAGUCCUUUCAUUUGAUAUUCAGAAGUACUCUGUAUGCGACAAUCAGGGCAAUAUCAUCUCCAUUUACUCUAUGUGUUGUGGAAGACACCUUCAGUUUUACCUUCUUCCUUCUUUACAAAACCUCAAUCUUGUUUCACUGUCUAUCUCUGCCUCGCAUGACUCAGAAGAAGGUGACCAUAUCUCCGACUUCAAGGGUAGCUCUCGAUUUGAUAACUCCAAUGCAAUGAUUGUUGCACUUGACUCAGCUUUGGCCAAUGAGGAGUGAGAGGAAGUUUGCUGGAUGUCUCUAGGAAAGUUUUCUUUGUUCCUAAGAAAGAGUCAGCCUGGAAAUUUCUGUGUCUGGAGUGACUCCUGGAGCUGCUGCUGUGAUCUUGCUACUAACCCAGUAAUAAAACCCGUCAAGAUGGCAGAGUGGAGCGAUGGGAAGAACCUGGAUCCCGGAGGACAUUUUGAGCCUCUGAGUAUGCUCAAUGGCAUCCAACCUCUGGACCUCCAGGUCUGUGAAGGAACAAUUUUCUGAAUUGCUUAGAGUUUUCUGUUACUUGCAGCCCAAAACAUCCUAAAUGCUAUGUGAGUAUCCUAGGACUCAGGAGUUAAGUGAAUUGCUUACGUCACCCAGCUAUUACAUGGAAGAGAUCAGACUGAGACCCAUAUUUCCCUACUCCUCAUUCAACUUUCUGCUUUCCUCUAUCCCAAAGGGACAAUUUUACUUUUCUGAAAUUAAUCACAGGAUAUACCAUCAUUAAAUUGAAUGUUUACAUCUCUUUCUUCCUCAGGAUAGUUAAUAAAACAACGGCCAGUAAUGACCCCCGUCCUGUAGCAGACAGAGCUUUCACACCCUCACUGAAAGGAUGAGGCCCACGCUGGAUGGAUGCUGAGGUCCUGGCUGUCUCCCAGAUUUCAUGUCUCUCUGGUUUCACUCCCUCUGCCAUCUUUGCUGAAAUGUCUGCCCUGCACCUUUUCUCAGCCCAAGCAUCAUAUAUUCUAAUUUCCAAUUGCUCUAACCUGUGCAGAAUUGGCCCACCUUUGUUUGGACAUCACUGUAGCAUCUACAUGCUUUUAUCUUAUUGCCAAGAUGCCUUAUUGCACGAUGAUUUUACUCAUCUGUUGUAUCAGGAUGCUUUCAUCUGCAAGAACAGUGACUAAAAUAACUAUGGAAUUUGUUUUCCUACUUAAUGAAAAGUCCCAUGGUUGGCCAUUCCAGGGCUAGUUCAGCCAUUCUGUCCUGCCUCAAGGCCCCUGGCCUUUCCUUCCUUGUGUGUGCCUUACCAUGCUUUGUAUAUUGGCCAUGUUGCUUCUCAUUAUUUAAAAAUUGCUGCCAUUGCCCCAAACACCAAGUCAUCACACAGUGAGGUCCAGAAACAGGACAAUAAAGGGGAAAAAUAUCCUUACCCCUUUUUUUCCCCACACAUCCUUAAUUAUUCUUUAUUCUUUUUUUUUCAGUUUUAUUGAGAAAUAAUUGACAUACAUCACUGUACAUGUUUAAGGCAUACAAUAUGAUGAUCUGAUUUACAUUAUAGUGAAAUGAUGACCACAAUUGUUCAGCUAACAUCCAUCAUCUCAUAUAGACACAAUAAAAAGAAAACUCACAUCUUUCUCUCUCUUAUUUUUCAGAAAAGACAAUCUCUCCUCAAACUACCCAAUAAUUUGCCCAAAGCCGCAGAGCUGGUAAUAUGGUGGAGCAGGGACUUCAAUGUGGACAGUCAGAUUCUAGACUGUCCAACAGAAACAUAAUGCAAGCCACAUAUGCCAUUUUAAUGUUAUGGUAGCUACGUUUACAAAGCAAAAAGAAGCAGGGGAAAUUAAUGUUUUAUUUAACCCAAUGGAUACAAAAGAUAAUUUCAACACAUCAUCAAUAUAAAAUUACUGAGAUAUUUUGUAUUUUUUAUACUAAGUCUUUGAAGUCUGAUGUGUCUUUUAUACUUAUAGUACAUCUCAAUUCAAUCACUAUAUUUUCAUUGGGAAGACGAUUUGUAUUUCUAGUUCAUGAAAUUUACAUUGAAAACAUAGAUACACGUCCCUAAGCUGUUCCGAAUAAACUUAAAGUUUCCCAGUAACUGAAUCAAGUAGAAGUUUUUACAUUGACAUUUAAAUUGAAGUUAAAUAAAAUUGCAAAUUCAGUUCCUCGGUCACACUAGGCACAUUUAAAACACUCAGAAGCCACGUGUGCUAGUGGCUACCGUAUUGGAUAGCAUAGUUCUGGAAGCUGCACACUUAAGCUCCUUUUUUGUCGAUUCCCUGUACCCAAGUUCACAGUUACGUGUUGGCAGGUGUGCAUCUGUAUUUAGGUGGUGCACAAUCUCUACAACUGGAAGACUGGGGACCGGCUUCGUCGUUGUUGCCCUGUUUCCGAUUAGCUCAGUUUGAUUGUGGGUGACCUCAGGUGAGUCGUUCUACUCCUCUGGGCCUCUGCCUCCUCAUUUGUCAAUGAGGGAGUGUGAUCUCAGUCAUCUUUUCUAGCUCUCGAAUGAUGUAUGAUUUCUCUCUUCUAAAAGAAGGAGGAAGGAGGACAUUAUUAAAGCUGUGGGCACCAGGGCGCACACACACAUUCUUUUCAAUGAAAUAGGUGAAACUGGUGUUGCCAGUCUCUGGCAGCUGCUGCAGUGCAGUGGGCAAGCAGGACUCGCACAGCGCUGUCUUCUCUCAUCUAGUACUGAGGGACGGGGUAAUUGUAUCUUUCUCCAGAAUGCCGGGGAUAAAGAAACACUGAAGCAUUGCCUGGGCUCCAAAUUCCAGGAAAUAUUGUGAGUUUUUUCCUUUAUAUACCUCCCCUUUUAAGGAAGAAAAUCCUGUACGUGAUGGAAAGCCCUGCGUUGGUUUCUGCAGUGGUUCUGAGUCGCUGGUUUCCUGGAGCGGGCUGUGUUCUUUUAUGUGUGAAAGAAAGGGCCUUUGGCUCCUUUAGACUCCCCACUGUUUAUUAUGUGUGCUCCUGGCUUGUUAGUCAGGAUGGGGCUUUUCAUUUAUUGGAUAGCAUAAAACCUUUGUUAUAUUUUAGCUACAGAGCUACAAAAGGAUGGCGAGGGGAUUCAAGUCGAACUGGAGAGUAACUAUGGAGGCUUGAGGCCCUGCAAGCCACAUGGUAAUUGGGUUUGACCAGAACUUGCCUUCCAAAUGGAGGAUGUGGAGCUGUCAGUGGGAUAAAACUUUAGCUCUCUGUGGGAAGGUCCCAGUUCCCAAAAACAAUUCCCCCAGACUGGUGACCUUUUACUAUUAGAGGUUCAUUUCUUUGGGUUUUGUAAGGUGGACAUAGUGAAAAUAGCCUCCUCAUGUGCAAAUGAGAGAUUCUAGUCUUAAGUAUGAAUUUUGGAGAAGAGGAUAAUAAGAAACUGAAUGGAAGAAGAAGGCAGGAGGGGGUGGGGGAACCGAAAGGACGCUAAGGGAAGAUGCUAAAGGCUGUCUGUCGUUUUGUAGUAAGCUAACACCUUACCGGAGUUUACACAGACCAGGAAAUAGGUAAAAAAUCUGCCACCAAUUUAUGCUCUGCUUAAAGGAAAGAUAGGCUUAAAGGAAGCAGAAUUGUGGGGUUUAGUUUCCUCAUUUCUGUAACCAGAGUGGGGAUUGGGAGGAAGGUGAUACCUCAUUUGUUCAUUCAUCUCUUCAUCCCUUAAUUGCGGUAGAUAGCUUUCAGAGACGCACACCAUCAGUUCCUGCUAAUGGGUUCUGCGUCCAAUUCCAGUGAGUGGGGAACGGGGUGUUCCCUACACCAACAAGCAAUUCUCCGACGCCAGCUGGUUGUCCUACAGUUCAACUCAGUUCUGACACUAUCCGCUGGAGACAGCCUCAGAUUCCACAGGUUAAGGGUUCGGUCCCACAGGACUGCCCUCCGCUUCAGAUGCCAAUCGCCUACCCUUUAGGAGGCUGCGCCGUGCUAUGCAGCAGCUCGGGAUGGACUGCUGGAUGACAAGAGCCACAGGGAGAAGGAGAGGUCUUGUGGAGGGGCCUGAGGUGUCAGAUUCUUUCUGGAACCUUCCCAUCCAGCCCAGCCUCAAUCGGAAUGCAGGUGAGUGAGUGACCCCAGCCAAUGCCACACGCACCCAGUAUUCGAACCAACGAAACACUGGGCCACCUGCAGCAGAGCGCGCGAACUUAACCACUCGGCCACGGGGCCAGCCCCUCCUUAAAAUUUUUUGUUUUCUAAUUAUUUGUGACAGUGCAUACAAAUAAAAUAGAUUUUUAUAUAUUGACCUUAUAUUCUAUGACUUUAUAUUCUGUGACUGUCACCUAUUAGUUUUAGUAAUUUUUUUAAAGAUUCUUUAGGAUUUUCUAUAUACAUGAUCAUAUUGUCCACGAAUAAAGAUGAUUUUACUUCUUCCUGUCCAAUAUGUAUGCCUUCUAUUUAUUUUUCUUGCUUUAUUGAGCUUGCAGUGACCUCUGGGACAAUGGUGAAGGGAAGUGGUAAGAGUGAGCAGCCUUACCUUGUUCCUGCUCUUAGGGGAAAGCACUCUUUCUUUCACCAUUAAAUACCAUGUAAGCUUUAGGGUUUUCAUAGAAGCCCUUUAUCGGGUUGAGAAAGUUGCCUUCUAUUCCUAAUUUGCUGAAAGUUUUUG
Equus caballus (horse) is the source of this 6291-nucleotide long non-coding RNA. The record is from Ensembl. NCBI's taxonomy places the organism in Eukaryota, Metazoa, Chordata, Mammalia, Perissodactyla, Equidae.